This 493-nucleotide ribosomal RNA is filed under the name uncultured bacterium. RNAcentral describes it as "partial 16S ribosomal RNA". It matches the Rfam family "Bacterial small subunit ribosomal RNA", at positions 28 to 506 of the family's 1533-position model. The record is from RNAcentral.
GACGAACGCUGGCGGCGUGCUUAACACAUGCAAGUCGAACGGUGAAGCGCCUUCCUUUUUGGUGGGUGUGGAUGAGUGGCGAACGGGUGAGUAACACGUGAGUAACCUGCCCCCUUCUUCUGGAUAACCGCAUGAAAGUGUGGCUAAUACGGGAUAUUCUGGGUCUGUCGCAUGAUGGGUCUGGGAAAGAUAUUGUUUCGGUGGGGGAUGGGCUCGCGGCCUAUCAGCUUGUUGGUGGGGUGAUGGCCUACCAAGGCGGUGACGGGUAGCCGGCCUGAGAGGGUGGACGGUCACACUGGGACUGAGGCACGGCCCAGACUCCUACGGGAGGCAGCAGUGGGGAAUAUUGCACAAUGGGCGCAAGCCUGAUGCAGCGACGCCGCGUGAGGGAUGGAGGCCUUCGGGUUGUGAACCUCUUUCGCCAGUGAAGCAGGCCUGCCUCGUUUGUGGGUGGGUUGACGGUAGCUGGAUAAGAAGCGCCGGCUAACUACGU